RNAcentral lists this transfer RNA (82 nucleotides) under Thermoplasmatales archaeon. RNAcentral describes it as "tRNA-Ser". It matches the Rfam family "tRNA". Rfam says of the family: Transfer RNA (tRNA) molecules are approximately 80 nucleotides in length. Their secondary structure includes four short double-helical elements and three loops (D, anti-codon, and T loops). Further hydrogen bonds mediate the characteristic L-shaped molecular structure. tRNAs have two regions of fundamental functional importance: the anti-codon, which is responsible for specific mRNA codon recognition, and the 3' end, to which the tRNAs corresponding amino acid is attached (by aminoacyl-tRNA synthetases). tRNAs cope with the degeneracy of the genetic code in two manners: having more than one tRNA (with a specific anti-codon) for a particular amino acid; and 'wobble' base-pairing, i.e. permitting non-standard base-pairing at the 3rd anti-codon position. The record is from RNAcentral. Lineage: Archaea; Methanobacteriati; Thermoplasmatota; Thermoplasmata; Thermoplasmatales.
GCGGGGAUGGCCCAGCGGUACGGCGGCAGCCUGCUAAGCUGUUUCUCUAUGAGAGCGAGGGUUCGAAUCCCUCUCCCCGCGC